RNAcentral lists this ribosomal RNA (305 nucleotides) under uncultured bacterium. RNAcentral's name for it is "bacterial SSU rRNA". It matches the Rfam family "Bacterial small subunit ribosomal RNA", at positions 337 to 640 of the family's 1533-position model. The record is from RNAcentral.
UCCUACGGGACGCAGCAGUGAGGAAUAUUGGUCAAUGGUCGGGAGACUGAACCAGCCAAGCCGCGUGAGGGAUGAAGGUACAGAGUAUCGUAAACCUCUUUUGUCAGGGAACAAAGGCGGGGACGUGUCCCCGGAUGAGUGUACCUGAAGAAAAAGCAUCAGCUAACUCCGUGCCAGCAGCCGCGGUAAUACGGAGGAUGCGAGCGUUAUCCGGAUUUAUUGGGUUUAAAGGGUGCGCAGGCGGUCUGUUAAGUCAGCGGUCAAAGCCCGGGGCUCAACCCCGGCCCGCCGGUGAAACUGGCAGG